This is a long non-coding RNA of Drosophila mauritiana, 669 nucleotides long. RefSeq lists it as uncharacterized. The transcript has 3 exons. The record is from RefSeq and is a predicted model, not a curated record. Lineage: Eukaryota; Metazoa; Arthropoda; Insecta; Diptera; Drosophilidae.
CGGCCGACGAAGCGGACGCGUCGCUAAAGAUCACACCUUGUAUAUAUAUAUGUGUAUAUGUGUGUGAACAUAUAGUAUAUGGUAAAGAAAAGCAGUUAAAAAAGUUAAGAAAGCGAUCAAAGAACGGUCAACUCUCUCACGCGCUCUCCCUCUCUCCGUCGCUGGAUUUCUUUGCGCCUGCGCAACGGUCAUUCUUCGUCUUUCCUCUCUUCGCACUCUCUCGCAAAAGUGAAAAUAUUUGGAGAAAUUUCUUGGGGGCAACCAAAGAAGAAGAAGCAGCAGCAACAGAAGAAGCAGAAUUUCGGUCUCGAGUUUUUUAGUGUGUCAGGAGUGGGCAUAGUUAUCGUUUUUUUCAACGCGAUCGAACGGCCCGCAAAAACAACGCAAGUGUCAAAAGUUCCGCAAAACCGGAAACCAUAACAAACGAAUUCGCAAGUCGCCCAAUGUCAAUGACCUAAAUUCGGGGCUUUUCGGAAAAACAAAGUGGGAAAAAUCAAAUCCAGUCAAUGCAAACACGAAUUGCGGCUGCAGCAUCUUCAGCGACUUCGAUUAGAGCCAAUAGCAUCGGCUUUGUGUUUGCCUGACAUUUCAGAAGAGCACUAAACCUCGGAAGUUGUAAGAAAUCGGUCUUGUUCACCCCCACCCAACCCACAGGAUACACCUGCUGAA